GAACGCUGGCGGCAUGCCUUACACAUGCAAGUCGAACGGCAGCACGGGAGCAAUCCUGGUGGCGAGUGGGCGAACGGGUGAGUAAUAUAUCGGAACGUGCCCGGUCGUGGGGGAUAACGUAGCGAAAGCUACGCUAAUACCGCAUACGAUCUACGGGAUGAAAGCGGGGGAUCGCAAGACCUCGCGCGAUUGGAGCGGCCGAUAUCAGAUUAGGUAGUUGGUGAGGUAAAGGCUCACCAAGCCGACGACCUGUAGCUGGUCUGAGAGGACGACCAGCCACACUGGGACUGAGACACGGCCCAGACUCCUACGGGAGGCAGCAGUGGGGAAUUUUGGACAAUGGGCGCAAGCCUGAUCCAGCAAUGCCGCGUGCAGGAUGAAGGCCUUCGGGUUGUAAACUGCUUUGUACGGAACGAAACGGUGAGCUCUAAUACAGUUUGCUAAUGACGGUACCGUAAGAAUAAGCACCGGCUAACUACGUG
This 482-nucleotide ribosomal RNA is filed under the name uncultured bacterium. Its description in RNAcentral is "bacterial SSU rRNA". It matches the Rfam family "Bacterial small subunit ribosomal RNA", at positions 31 to 507 of the family's 1533-position model. The record is from RNAcentral.